UUGGAGUGUCCAGUCAUCAGAAGCAGAGCUCUGGGACGUGUGGACACUGGACAGACAUUCACUGUAAUGAUGGACUUCUGCUGAUGGACGGGCUCUACAGGCAGGUGGCAGGUCAAACUCAUGCAAGUGGGCGGAGCCACUGAAUCUGCAGCUGUGACAGAGAUGAAACUGGACAUCCCACGCUCGUCUGAAAGAGAUGGAGUUAUGUAGGAUUCCAGUCACAAAUCCUGAAAAGUUGAGAACUCGUAUCGUGUUUUACUUAUAAAUAGAGCAGUGUUGCACUAUAUUCAGGUUUUGAGAAAAAAAUAUCCAGAUACAACAUUUAUAUAUGAAAUAUAGUGAUUUGCUAAGGUUCAUCAUACAUACAUCAUGAAUAUAUCAGACACUAAAUCAUAUAUCAAAUCU
Molecule: long non-coding RNA, 405 nt
Organism: Rhinichthys klamathensis goyatoka
Lineage: Eukaryota; Metazoa; Chordata; Actinopteri; Cypriniformes; Leuciscidae
Exons: 3
Source: RefSeq, a predicted model, not a curated record